GCGGUCGUAGCUCAAUGGUAGAGCUGCAGUCUUCCAAACUGAGGACGUAGGGUUCGAUUCCCUCCGACCGCUCCA
Molecule: transfer RNA, 75 nt
Filed under: Rhizobiaceae bacterium
Lineage: Bacteria; Pseudomonadati; Pseudomonadota; Alphaproteobacteria; Hyphomicrobiales; Rhizobiaceae
Also listed under: 1 other name
Description: tRNA-Gly
Rfam family: tRNA
About the family: Transfer RNA (tRNA) molecules are approximately 80 nucleotides in length. Their secondary structure includes four short double-helical elements and three loops (D, anti-codon, and T loops). Further hydrogen bonds mediate the characteristic L-shaped molecular structure. tRNAs have two regions of fundamental functional importance: the anti-codon, which is responsible for specific mRNA codon recognition, and the 3' end, to which the tRNAs corresponding amino acid is attached (by aminoacyl-tRNA synthetases). tRNAs cope with the degeneracy of the genetic code in two manners: having more than one tRNA (with a specific anti-codon) for a particular amino acid; and 'wobble' base-pairing, i.e. permitting non-standard base-pairing at the 3rd anti-codon position.
Source: RNAcentral